CUACUCGUUUUUGGUUUUUCGGAAUCAGAGACUAAGCGAAAGUGAUAAGUUAGCCACCUGGGGAGUACGAACGCAAGUUUGAAACUCAAAGGAAUUGACGGGGGCCCGCACAAGCGGUGGAUUAUGUGGUUUAAUUCGAUGAUACGCGAGGAACCUUACCAAGGCUUAAAUGGGAAAUGACAGGUUUAGAAAUAGACUUUUCUUCGGACAUUUUUCAAGGUGCUGCAUGGUUGUCGUCAGCUCGUGCCGUGAGGUGUUAGGUUAAGUCCUGCAACGAGCGCAACCCCUGUCACUAGUUGCCAUCAUUAAGUUGGGGACUCUAGUGAGACUGCCUACGCAAGUAGAGAGGAAGGUGGGGAUGACGUCAAAUCAUCACGGCCCUUACGCCUUGGGCCACACACGUAAUACAAUGGCCGGUACAGAGGGCAGCUACACAGCGAUGUGAUGCAAAUCUCGAAAGCCGGUCUCAGUUCGGAUUGGAGUCUGCAACUCGACUCUAUGAAGCUGGAAUCGCUAGUAAUCGCGCAUCAGCCAUGGCGCGGUGAAUACGUUCCCGGGCCUUGUACACACCGCCCGUCAAGCCAUGGAAGUCUGGGGUACCUGAAGUCGGUGACCGUAACAGGAGCUGCCUAGGGUAAAACAGGUAACUAGGGCUAAGUCGUAACAAG
This 668-nucleotide ribosomal RNA is filed under the name Chryseobacterium sp. Its description in RNAcentral is "bacterial SSU rRNA". It matches the Rfam family "Bacterial small subunit ribosomal RNA", at positions 813 to 1495 of the family's 1533-position model. Lineage: Bacteria; Pseudomonadati; Bacteroidota; Flavobacteriia; Flavobacteriales; Weeksellaceae. The record is from RNAcentral.